CAUAAAACAAUAGGAAUUUCCAGAGUCCUGAUUAAAUUACUGGCGUCUGUUUCCCUUACGUUGGCCAACAGAAAGCGUUUCAUUAUGAAGGUAAGACGCUUCCUUGCCGUUGCCUGAAUUUCUUCCACAAAGCUUAGGGUUAUCAUUUGUCCACUCUUAAAGUGCCAGCACGGUUUUCUGAUAUCUGCUCUUUCAUUUCAAUUUAGACGUUUUUGAUGGCAUACUUGUCUUCUACAGGUUUAAAUUACAUACAAGCCAUGCGUUUGGAUGAGCAUGAGUUCUCUGGAACAGCAUAGUGCCUACUAUGUAGUUAGGAAAGCUUAGUCAUGUGGUUUCAGGAUUUGGAGGUUUCACUAUGGUCUGUUUUUGCUCUCUGUUCAAGCUCUAAUUCCCUUCUGCAGGCACCCCCCUCUCUGUGCAUAGCUGAAGCAAAAGCCAGAGUUUUGAUUUUAGUGAAGGCUGAAGCCUACUUAUUUUGUCAAGAAGUUGUAAGCGUGAUCGCUGCACUCCUGCCUUCCUUGCAAAGGACACCCCGGAGAGAGCAACAAAUAGAAAAAAAAGAGAGCUUCCCAGCACGAGGAACCCUGGGAUACUUAUCUGCGUGCUUGACCCAGUGCAAAAAUACUGACAGCCAGGCUGUGUUUUGGCCUCAGCAUGGCUCCUGGCUGCCUGGUCUGGGCUAUUUCAGUCUGCGAGGGUACUCUGCAAAGCGGAGAAAAGAAGCCAAGGAUGAAAAGGGAAAUGACUGGUCUACUGUUGCAUUGGGAGGCUGUGCUAGGACACAGAAGAUUCAGAAGAACUACUUUCCAGCUCUGCUCAGCUGGACAAGAUGAGGAGAAUGGCAUCGAAGUAGGAGUUUUCUUACCCAGAUCUUUCAGCUGUUUUCAGCAUUGUUGAUGUGCAAGCUGCUGUUGUUUUGUUCUGACACAGUGUAGGUGAGUUUAAAUUAAGAAAAUUAUCACUGAAUUUUUAAAGGCAGAAUUUGUUAUCCU
Molecule: long non-coding RNA, 992 nt
Filed under: Struthio camelus australis
Lineage: Eukaryota; Metazoa; Chordata; Aves; Struthioniformes; Struthionidae
Description: lncRNA (ENSSCUG00000014219.1)
Source: RNAcentral